CCGUGAGGAGGCAUCCCUCUGUGUGUGGAUUCAGAAGCCUUUUCUGCUCGUGUGCUGCACUGUGGGACACAGCUACGAAGAAGAUACAUCUCUUCUCUAUUCUCAGUGAUUCCAGUUUGCUCAUCUCUCCGGAGAGCCACCUGAUGUUUUCGACAGAAGGUGCCCCAGGUUGUUGUUUCUGCUGCAGUGAAUCAGGAGGACAUUGAGAGCAGCUGAGGGAGAAGGGGAGAAGUUUCUUUCAACACAACCAAACCACUGGAGCCUGUGGAUCCACACAUUGGCCCAACUUGAUGGUCGUCAUUGCUCACCAUCCAGAUUUUGGGGAUUAAGUGAGUGUUGAGUGUUUUAUGAAAUCACAUUCAAAAUUACUUUUCAACUUAUAUUUUUUACAUGUAUUUGCAUCUUUAAUGUAGACAGGGCUGGGCUAAUUGAUGUACAUGAGCGGUUAUCAUAAAAAGUCUAUUUCUGUAAAGCUGCUGAGUGAGAACAUGCAUACAGGUGGGUACAUGCUUGAUUUGCUCUACACCAAGGUUGUGCCCUUUAUUU
This is a long non-coding RNA of Perca flavescens (yellow perch), 546 nucleotides long. RefSeq lists it as uncharacterized. NCBI's taxonomy places the organism in Eukaryota, Metazoa, Chordata, Actinopteri, Perciformes, Percidae. The record is from RefSeq and is a predicted model, not a curated record. The transcript is spliced from 3 exons.